Fukomys damarensis (Damara mole-rat) is the source of this 1094-nucleotide long non-coding RNA. RefSeq lists it as uncharacterized. The transcript has 6 exons. The record is from RefSeq and is a predicted model, not a curated record. Lineage: Eukaryota; Metazoa; Chordata; Mammalia; Rodentia; Bathyergidae.
UUUAAGCCCUUAACUGUUAACAGAGAGAUUGCUUCACUUUCUGGUCAGCAGACCAGGAAAAUGAAAACUUCACUCUAGGUUUAGAUGUUUCCUCAGAGGGUCUUUGUAAAAAACAUUAUGAAGCGUAAUUUCUUGAAGCGUUUCCAUCACUGCGAGAUCUUUGUAGGCCCCCAACUGCUCCCUGAGCAUGGUGCCUUCCUGGAUCCUCAUCAGGAAAGGACAGGCCCAGUAGGCCCUAGAAGGUAAUCUGUACAGAUCACGGGUCUGUUUCUCACAUUUAUGGAAGUUGACAAGUCCGAGAUCUACACUCUGCCUCCAAGAGGGUACCUGGUCUUGUGCCAGAAGAGCAAAAGAGGACAGAGCCUCUGCUGGCCGCACUGGAUCCAUAUUGCGUUUUGCUGAAAUAGCUUGGCAGAGUUGUUUCUCUCCCUUGAACACCUUGAUCCCUGUGAGCCCUUAUAAUUGGCUGUGCAACUCGAAUAUGCAAAAAGAUCCCUUGAAGCAAGAACAGGGAAAAAGAGAAACAAAAAUAGGCAAACAUCUUUUCUGGUUUGGCUUUCGAGGAUUGCAAUCUUCAUCCAAGUAGAAGACAUCAUUCUUAGGAAUGUUCUUCACCCUCGGGGAUUUCAUCUCGUGCCUGCAGAUGGAAGGGGCCAUGUGGUGAGGAUUGAAGGAGAGACGCUGUGAGCAGCAGACAGCAGUGAAAUGGGAGCUCAGUCCUCUGACUGCAAGGACACGGAUGGCACCUUGGAAGAGGGCACCAUCCUUAGCUCCAGGUGGUAUGUGCAUUAGCCAGCUUCUGCCGCUGUGCCAGAUACGCCUGACAGCAUCGGUCAUUUCAGAUAAAACCGUCAUGGUGCAUCGACCCAGAAGUGACAGAAGGCUCCACAGUAAGCCCCGCAGCUUGCCGUCUUCUCUGGUCUCGCCUGCACCUUCCAGUCCCGCAGGCAGCUGCUGUGAAGGGCUACAUCCUUCGCAUCUUCUGGCAUCUGCAGUGGAGAAAACACUGACCACUUGUGCAUGCCAACUGCACUGUUCUGCUUUCUACACUUUGGCAGUAUCCGCGUGAUGCUUUCAUAUUCUUUUUGAUUGGU